Molecule: small nucleolar RNA, 129 nt
Organism: Suricata suricatta (meerkat)
Lineage: Eukaryota; Metazoa; Chordata; Mammalia; Carnivora; Herpestidae
Source: Ensembl
GUUGAGGUCUAUCCUGAUGGGCUCUUUUUGCAGACCCACAUCAUUGGAGAUGCCUCAUCAAAUAACUAUGCUGUUUGUUUUACUCACAGAAUUAUUCAUUUGAUCUGUGGAAAGAACUAUAAGAUGUAG